AAAGAAUUAGUUAAAUAAAUAACCUAAAUAUGUCAUAUUUAAAUUAUUAGAAAUCUAAUAUUCUUUU
Molecule: transfer RNA, 67 nt
Filed under: Glossosoma caudatum
Lineage: Eukaryota; Metazoa; Arthropoda; Insecta; Trichoptera; Glossosomatidae
Description: tRNA-Asp
Source: RNAcentral